RNAcentral lists this non-coding RNA (31 nucleotides) under Mus musculus (house mouse). The record is from RNAcentral. Lineage: Eukaryota; Metazoa; Chordata; Mammalia; Rodentia; Muridae.
UCUUCGUUUAGACAUUAGAUAAGCCCUGGGA